UGGGGAAUUUUGGACAAUGGGCGCAAGCCUGAUCCAGCAAUGCCGCGUGCAGGAUGAAGGCCUUCGGGUUGUAAACUGCUUUUGUACGGAACGAAACGGUCUUUUCUAAUACAGAAGGCUAAUGACGGUACCGUAAGAAUAAGCACCGGCUAACUACGUGCCAGCAGCCGCGGUAAUACGUAGGGUGCGAGCGUUAAUCGGAAUUACUGGGCGUAAAGCGUGCGCAGGCGGUUUUGUAAGACAGAUGUGAAAUCCCCGGGCUCAACCUGGGAAUUGCCUUUGUGACUGCAAGGCUUGAGUGCGGCAGAGGGGGAUGGAAUUCCGCGUGUAGCAGUGAAAUGCGUAGAUAUGCGGAGGAACACCGAUGGCGAAGGCAAUCCCCUGGGCCUGCACUGACGCUCAUGCACGAAAGCGUGGGGAGCAAACA
RNAcentral lists this ribosomal RNA (427 nucleotides) under uncultured bacterium. RNAcentral's name for it is "bacterial SSU rRNA". It matches the Rfam family "Bacterial small subunit ribosomal RNA", at positions 355 to 774 of the family's 1533-position model. The record is from RNAcentral.